UACAGAGGGUGCAAGCGUUAAUCGGAUUUACUGGGCGUAAAGCGCGCGUAGGCGGCUAAUUAAGUCAAAUGUGAAAUCCCCGAGCUUAACUUGGGAAUUGCAUUCGAUACUGGUUAGCUAGAGUGUGGGAGAGGAUGGUAGAAUUCCAGGUGUAGCGGUGAAAUGCGUAGAGAUCUGGAGGAAUACCGAUGGCGAAGGCAGCCAUCUGGCCUAACACUGACGCUGAGGUGCGAAAGCUAGGGGAGCAAACGGG
Molecule: ribosomal RNA, 253 nt
Filed under: uncultured bacterium
Lineage: Bacteria
Description: partial 16S ribosomal RNA
Rfam family: Bacterial small subunit ribosomal RNA
Source: RNAcentral